UAUCCGGAAUUAUUGGGCGUAAAGGGCUCGUAGGCGGUUCGUCGCGUCCGGUGUGAAAGUCCAUCGCUUAACGGUGGAUCCGCGCCGGGUACGGGCGGGCUUGAGUGCGGUAGGGGAGACUGGAAUUCCCGGUGUAACGGUGGAAUGUGUAGAUAUCGGGAAGAACACCAAUGGCGAAGGCAGGUCUCUGGGCCGUCACUGACGCUGAGGAGCGAAAGCGUGGGGAGCGAACAGGAUUAGAUACCCUGGUAGUCCACGCCGUAAACGGUGGAUGCUGGAUGUGGGGACCAUUCCACGGUCUCCGUGUCGGAGCCAACGCGUUAAGCAUCCCGCCUGGGGAGUACGGCCGCAAGGCUAAAACUCAAAGAAAUUGACGGGGGCCCGCACAAGCGGCGGACAUGCGGAUUAAUUCGAUGCAACGCAAGAACCUUACCUGGGCUUGACAUGUUCCCGACAGCCGCACAAAUGUGGUUCCCUUCGGGGCGGGUUCACAG
RNAcentral lists this ribosomal RNA (494 nucleotides) under uncultured bacterium. RNAcentral describes it as "bacterial SSU rRNA". It matches the Rfam family "Bacterial small subunit ribosomal RNA", at positions 542 to 1037 of the family's 1533-position model. The record is from RNAcentral.